UGAACGCUGGCGGCGUGCUUAACACAUGCAAGUCGCACGAGAACACCAUAGCUUGCUAUGGUAAGUAAAGUGGCGCACGGGUGAGUAACGCGUGGGUAAUCUACCUUCGAAUCUGGGAUAACAUUGCGAAAGCGAUGCUAAUACCGGAUGACAUUCAUGGAAUUUAGGUUUUAUGAAUCAAAGAUGGCCUCUCCAUGGAAGCUAUUGUUUGAAGAUGAGCCCGCGUACCAUUAGCUUGUUGGUAGGGUAACGGCCUACCAAGGCUACGAUGGUUAGCUGGUCUGAGAGGAUGAUCAGCCACACUGGAACUGACACACGGUCCAGACUCCUACGGGAGGCAGCAGUGAGGAAUUUUGCGCAAUGGGGGAAACCCUGACGCAGCAACGCCGCGUGAGUGAUGAAGGCUUUCGGGUCGUAAAGCUCUGUCAAGUGGGAAGAACUUGCGUCGCCCUAAUAAGGCGAUGUAUUGACGGUACCACUGAAGGAAGCACCGGCUAACUCC
Molecule: ribosomal RNA, 502 nt
Filed under: uncultured bacterium
Lineage: Bacteria
Description: bacterial SSU rRNA
Rfam family: Bacterial small subunit ribosomal RNA
Source: RNAcentral